UCUCUAUGAGCAAACGCGCGCUCGAGGUUUAAGGCGGCGGUUUACGCGUGAUGACGAUGAAAUGCCAUUGGGAGACCACCAACGUUCUCAGGUGACCAUAGGUAAAAACAGCGCAACAGACACGGACAACAAUGCACACAGGACUAGCGCUAGUCCUGUGUGUAUUGUUGUCCGUGUCUACUUCGCGCUGUUUUUAACUAUGGAUACGCAUCAACUGGAUCACAUGCACUCACUUUUAAGUCAGUGGUGACAACAGGGGGCUGUCACUGACUGGCAAGCGUCCCAGUAGGAUCCCAACAGAUACGAGUCGGUUCCCCAGCCAGCGCUUGCACCUGGGAAGGAACGUUCUGCGCUCAUGCAGGUGCUGUUCGCUGACACGGGACGCAGUUUGCUCAUAGGUAUCGACUUGGCCGACACCGGGACCUAGGGAUAUGUUGGCACGACGGUUCGCCGGCAGCCCUUCCUUGUUAGGCGCAGCUGCCUGAACAGUACUGUGGCUGGGAAACAAUAUGCCAGAAACACCUAGCUUGCCAAUUUUGCUUUGUGAAAAGCGGCGGACAUUGUCUUGUCUACCAGUUUACAACUUCAAAGUUGCGGGAUUAUUCAAGAUCGGAGGGUCGUGUCCGGUUCAACUUCUUGGUUUCCCAUCUUCUGCACAGAGCAUGGUUCUAAAGCAAUAAAGCAGACUGGCCAUUU
Long non-coding RNA from Rhipicephalus sanguineus (brown dog tick), 696 nucleotides. RefSeq lists it as uncharacterized. The transcript has 5 exons. The record is from RefSeq and is a predicted model, not a curated record. Lineage: Eukaryota; Metazoa; Arthropoda; Arachnida; Ixodida; Ixodidae.